AGUGCCGGUUACAAGUUCCAUCAUUUUUCACUGUAAAAUUGCUUUGGAACUUUAACCACCCCAUAUAUAUGUAUGUAGUGGAGUUUGCAACUGAAAAGAAACUUUGUGCUCCCAACAAGCUAGUUGAGAGACGUCUUUCACACACACUUAUCUCU
Vicugna pacos (alpaca) is the source of this 155-nucleotide non-coding RNA. Lineage: Eukaryota; Metazoa; Chordata; Mammalia; Artiodactyla; Camelidae. The record is from RefSeq and is a predicted model, not a curated record.